GUCACCGUCGGUCACAAGCGUCGGGCUGUCGGUGACGAGGAGUCGGGUGGGACAGAAGUCUGUAAACAAACGCCUGUGACAGAGAAGCUCACCAUAAUAAACGGACAAUUAUCACGUUAUUGGUGAUUGGAAAAUAGGUGAUUUAGGAGAUUUUACAACAAAUCUUUGGGAAAUUGAACUGCACUAUCACAGCUGAAAAUGACCAGCUGGAGCAUGGAACAAGAGCUGCCACCACCACCAUGGCACUAUCACCAUCACCUAUGGCAAGAGAGGUUUUCUCCCUUGCUGUUAAUCAAGAAAUCUGGCUUUAUAAAACAAUAUUGUAUACCGGUAUGUGUGAAUGUGUAGACACACACACACACACACCACUAGAUGUCUCCAUGACCACGUGAGGUCCUUCAUAUCAACACCCGAGGACGAGUUACUGCAUCAGGUGGCCUACGUGACCUCACACAGUAAGGCAAGUGACCAGCCCGAGCCAUCAUCUGCAACUAUAAUAAUUUGUGGUGUUGGAGCAUCUAUAAUCAGAUGAAAUAAACUGGGGGCUAACCUUCAUGUGAACCUGAACAACUGCCUUACAAUAACAUCUACAAGCAUUAAUCAUUCCUAAGCUGGUGUAUGAUAAGACUUCAUGAUAAUGCAAUUGAGACUUUUCAGAAGAUUUUGAAUAAAUUGGAACUGAUUAGUCCUUGCUCUUCUGCCUUGGCCAUACAGGGAGCAACAACAGACUACCAGGUCAAGCUGUGGAAUCAAGAACAGUACUGGGCUUCAAAAUAGCCCUCGAAAAAAUUUGAAAAACAAUGAAGGGGUUCACCCUUAAGCAUUGCCACCUCGAGGGUGACUGUUAGGUAAAUAAGGUAUGAAACUGAUAAAUUUUCCCAAACAAGGGAGAAAGUAACAAAUGGUUCAACACUUGCCAGGCAACACAAUAAAUAAGACCAUAAUGUACUGAAUUUUGUAUGCUGUUCUGUAUACAGUAUAGUACUGUUCUCCUGUUACAACACUCGGUAAUUAAAAUUCAUUUGUGUACCAUGUUAUUUCUUGUUUUGGGGAACCAUGCAUCUUUUGUGUAAGAUGUUACAUUUAUUCCUACAGUUAUUUAUCUACCUAUGUAAUAAAGCAGCCAUAUUGUUUUCACAUAAAAAGUGUGAUGACUGCCAAGUGUCACCACACUGGGCCAUGUUACUGACUAUGGGAUGAGUCAAAGCUUUAGUUGUUUGAUUCCAUUCUGAUAGGUGAAUCAGUUUGUGGACAGUAUGGUUGUUGGCUGAGAGUUCAUAUUGUCUUUACUUAUAUUAUUGUGUUCCUGCUCCAUUAGGUUAAGUAUUAUAUAUAUUGUAAUGAUUAAAUUGUAUUGUGUGUGGAUGGGUAAGUUUUCAUACUGAGAAACCUAAUUAAUUAUUGUCAUUAUUGUUUGCAGAACACAUUGUAAAUAGUUUCAUUUAAUUAUAUUAACUUAUUUUA
Homarus americanus (American lobster) is the source of this 1464-nucleotide long non-coding RNA. RefSeq lists it as uncharacterized. NCBI's taxonomy places the organism in Eukaryota, Metazoa, Arthropoda, Malacostraca, Decapoda, Nephropidae. The transcript has 5 exons. The record is from RefSeq and is a predicted model, not a curated record.